Papaver somniferum (opium poppy) is the source of this 2861-nucleotide long non-coding RNA. RefSeq lists it as uncharacterized. The transcript has 2 exons. NCBI's taxonomy places the organism in Eukaryota, Viridiplantae, Streptophyta, Magnoliopsida, Ranunculales, Papaveraceae. The record is from RefSeq and is a predicted model, not a curated record.
GUCUUCUUAGCGUGUUGGAUGCUAUCAUUACAGAGAACUAGUGCAAUGGAGUCCUUGGGAGCAAAAGAAGGAGAAAACGUCCAUUUGGAGCGGAAAUGGCAAAAAGAUCGAUUCCCAAGCGACACUUGGAGUCGGCUGAGUUGCGCAAAAAAGAGGUGAAGAAUAAACUGUCAGUCCUCCUCAACUGAUAGUUGUGCAAGAAAACAAAUAGGUGGUCGGUUCCUUGGAACUGACAGGGCAAAGAAAAUCUGGGCAGCCCUUAUCUAUUCCACCUGGGUGGAUGUAUCAAUUGCUCUUCCUUUACAAAACCUGAAAUUCAGAGAUAAACAAAUCAUUGGUUUUUUAUUUCCCAUCCGAUAGAGAGAGCCAUGGCGGCACCAGAACUGAAGAGAAAGAGAAAUCGACACUUCAUGAGAGAAUCGAUCGAGGAACUUGAGAGAAGAUCAAGUUCUGAUGAUGUUUUAGUGAUUAGAUAAGGUGGUGCAGGCUGAUUGAAUUCCUGUGAAGGUUAAUUAGGGUUUGAAGAAUUGAUGUGAUUUCAGUACAGAGAGAUCGAGAAGUCCGAAAGAAAAUAGAAGAGAAAUUCAGGGUGUUGAAGAUGGGUUUUGUGGCAGGAAAUAGGAAUAACAAGGUGGGUAUUUGACAGUUAUUGUUGUGAGAUGGGUGUUGUUCAGAGAAGAUGAAUAAAAAAAGGGAUAUGCUGCUGUGGUGAGACGAAGAAGAAAUUGAAUUAGGGGUUCGAUUUAGACAUGAAAUUGAAGGUUUACAAUCAAUUGGAAAGAUGGGUUUCGAUUGAACAGUGAGAAAAUGAAUCUGGUGAUACAAGCGGUAAUGUAAAUUGGGGUUUGAAACUGAAUUUGAAUCGAGAGAAGGAAGAUGAUCUGGUGUGUGACUGCUGUUCUGUGAAGAAAUGGAGUAAGCUGUUGCCAUGGUUCGAUUGUUGAGAUGAUGAAGAGGACAUGGUGUUGUUGCUGACAUGAUUGAAUUGUGGACAAGAAAGGUUGCAGGAUUGAACUGUAAUGGAGAUGGUUCAGCUUCCACAGGAAUGUGUUGUGUGUGAUAUGGCAGCUGAGAAGAGAAAUAGAAAGUUAGAGGAGAAGCUUAUGGUGAAGUUGAGGCAUUGGUUGUGACAGUGAGAGUGGUUGUAGCUCAAAUUGCAGAUGGAAUUUAUGCUAAGGCAGAGAUGGUGAUUCUGGUGAACUGAGAUUACAGGAUAUGAAGCCACAGAUGUAGUUGGGAAGUGUAGGUGAAGUGCAAGAUUUGAUCCAAGAAGCAGCUGGAGUUGAUGCUUGGAGAAACAUAGCUUUUCUUUUGCAGCACAGCUGUAAGCAAUGGGCAGGGACAUGGAUGCUGCAGUGAGCAAAGAAUGUUGCAAUGAAUGGGAUCGUGAUGAUGUUAGAUGGAGGUCUUGCUGGUCUGUGCUUAUAUGAGAUGCAGGAGAGGGGUCUUAACUGAGGUGAUGAUGCUGUAUAGAUGUUUGUUUAGGAACUUGAAAGUGGUAAGCAAUUGCAGGUGCAGAGUGCGGCAUUUGUGACAACACACUGGAGUUGUAGGUGAGCUGCAGAAUAGUAUGACCUGAGUCUGAGAAGUACCGUUGGAAAUGAAGCUGCCCAUGGUGUUGCAGCUGCAGUUGUAAUGGGUUUAAAGCUACAGAAUGAGAUGCCGCAACUGAAGGGGAUGCGUGUUGGUCUGUGUAUGCAUGGAGCUGCGAGUAAUUAUGCAUUGCAGGAGUUGGUACUGCAGUUUUGAUACAGAGAAGAACAAGGUGAAUUAUGUGGAUGCUGCUGUGUUGUGGUUGAAUGAGCAGCUGUUAGGGGUACUGCAGCUGAACUGAAGCUAAAGGAAUGACGUAGUGCUGCGGCAGAUGAUGCAGUUCAGGUGCAGGCUAGGUGCAGUUGGAGUUGAAGCUGCAGGUGGUAAGACUGAGAUGGAAAAGUUGGAUUGAUUUACAGGGAAUGAUGCAGUGAUGUUGUUAUCUGGAGUUGUUGAUGUGUGGUUCAGGUAGUAUUGAUUAAGUAGAUUGUUCUUUGAUAGGGCUGUAGCUGAAAUGGAAUGAAUGGUUGCAGUUGUGGAGUUGGUUGUUACAAUGGGUUUGAGCAACUAUUGGUAUUGCAGGUGGUGCUGAUGUUGCAGUCUCGAGCUGGUGGUGUUAGUAGUUGCCAUGAGCAGUAGAAGAGGAAUACAGGAAAUUUCAGGUGCAAUUGAGCUGAGAAGAUACAAGGUUGCAGCUGAAGUGCAGGAAGAAUGGAAAAUGAUACUGGUGCUGGAAGGCUUGCAGCUGUGAAGUAAUGCAGUUGAAACUGAGAACUGAGCUUGUGAACAGCCAUCUUGGCGCAUCACAGGUUUUGGCAUGUGCAAUAGCUCAGGCCAAGGCCAAGGCCACUCAGCUCAAUUGAUUCUGACUAGUAUCUAACUCGUCUAUCUGACUUAGACCUGACUCGGUAUGCUUGACCCGAGUUAACUCAGUUGACCGACCGCACUGAUUCGUUGACCGGUGACCGGGUGGACUUUGCCGGUUACCUGAGAUGUUUUCCGGCCUAUUUCCAGCGCCGACACCAGUUCUCCGGCAACAUAUUUUUGGCAGAAUUUUUACGUGGGUGUUUUCUCUUAUAUCUCUUAUAUGGGCUUGGUGGACUUCUUGGUGAUGGGCUUUUGAAGACUUGACCUAAGAAGAACUACAAAAAGGAAGGUUUUCUACUUUCUUUGGAGGACGUAUUUCUACUUGGAACUUUGGAGAGCGGAGAUUCUACUAGGGUUUGCUUUCAUUUAUUUUUCAUCUUCUUCAAUUCAUUUUUGAUUAUGAUUAUGAUGAACUCAAAAGCUAUGAGUAGCUAAAUACAAUUAUUGGUUAUGGGAUAAAA